AAGGCCCUUCCGCGGCUCCUGCCGCAGCAGUGCGCCACGACCGCUGCGCCGCAGACCCCGGGGGCAGCGCUGUGCUUGUUUGUGCUGACAGCAUCCGGCUGGGCCUGGGCGCACCGCACGAAGAGCCCAACCCGAGCAGGGCUGGGCUCGUUCCCCCUGAGGUCAUCCCUUCCCAAACGUGUUCUGUACGAUCUCGUUCCCACCGUCUCCACCAUAUUUAGUAAAUCACCCUAUGGGGGCAUAGUAACGGCGUAACUGCAUCAGGAAGUUGCCCAAAAUAGGGUUCCUCCCGGCUUCCGCUGCACUGAUCGUUACUGAUGUCACAGCAAGAUGACCAUGGAGCGUUCACUUCUCUGAUGUGGUAGGACGGUUGCUGGCAAAACAGCUCUCAGCUUGUUUGACAAUCGUUUAAAGUCUUAAGAGCUCCAGCCAAGGAAGCUUGGAGGGAAUAUAGAGCGUGACAGGCGUUCAGAAGUUGCUGUGCACUUUGUGCCUACACAAGCACCCGCUUUACAGUGUUCAGAUCCUGGUUUAUAACGAAUGGUCUGGCUGGUCUGACAGAGCAACGUUGGCCAUGACAGUAACUAAUCUUUCUGUCAACAGAUGCAGAGGCCCACUGGAGAGCAUACUUGUGAUUACAGUAAAUUAUAUGUAUCAAGAAGAAAAGGGGACCAAACCUGAGUCCCUCCAGGAGUUUGGGCAGAUUUUACCAGUUCAGCAAGAUGAAAACAAAUAAAAUCCAGCAAGCAAACCUGGAAACAAGUUAGCACAGAUUACUGCAGUAUACCUAAUUCGUUCUAUACGUAAAGCAGAGGAGUACUUAAAGACACAAAGGUAAGGCAACCUUUAUAAUAUUUCUACUUGAUUUCAGCCAUGGGCUGGUGAACUCGAGACUACUCUCUGCCUGAUACUAAAGGCAGUAGUAGCUUUUAGAUUU
Struthio camelus australis is the source of this 937-nucleotide long non-coding RNA. Lineage: Eukaryota; Metazoa; Chordata; Aves; Struthioniformes; Struthionidae. The record is from Ensembl.